AUAAAGUUAGUUUAAUAUAAAAUGAUAAAUUGUGGUUUUAUAGAUAAAUUAUAAUUUACUUUAUU
Molecule: transfer RNA, 65 nt
Filed under: Ascarosepion apama (giant Australian cuttlefish)
Lineage: Eukaryota; Metazoa; Mollusca; Cephalopoda; Sepiida; Sepiidae
Description: tRNA-His
Source: RNAcentral